AUUGCACAAUGGGGGGAACCCUGAUGCAGCGACGCCGCGUGGGUGAAGGAGCGUUUCGGCGCNUAAAGCCCUAUCGGCAGGGAAGNNGGNNNANGGUACCUGACUAAGAAGCCCCGGCUAACUACGUGCCNNNANCGGCGGUAAUACGUAGGGGGCAAGCGUUAUCCGGAUUUACUGGGUGUAAAGGGGGCGCAGACGGCAGCGCAAGCCAGGAGUGAAAGCCCGGGGCCCAACCCCGGGACUGCUCUUGGAACUGCGCGGCUGGAGUGCAGGAGGGGCAGGCGGAAUUCCUGGUGUAGCGGUGAAAUGCGUAGAUAUCAGGAGGAACACCGGUGGCGAAGGCGGCCUGCUGGACUGCGACUGACGUUGAGGCCCGAAAGCGUGGGGAGCAAACAGG
This 397-nucleotide ribosomal RNA is filed under the name uncultured bacterium. RNAcentral's name for it is "partial 16S ribosomal RNA". It matches the Rfam family "Bacterial small subunit ribosomal RNA", at positions 363 to 776 of the family's 1533-position model. The record is from RNAcentral.